CGGACGGGUGAGUAACACGUGGAUAACCUACCUAUAAGACUGGGAUAACUUCGGGAAACCGGAGCUAAUACCGGAUAAUAUUUUGAACCGCAUGGUUCAAAAGUAAAAGACGGUCUUGCUGUCACUUAUAGAUGGAUCCGCGCUGCAUUAGCUAGUUGGUAAGGUAACGGCUUACCAAGGCAACGAUGCAUAGCCGACCUGAGAGGGUGAUAGGCCACACUGGAACUGAGACACGGUCCAG
Molecule: ribosomal RNA, 241 nt
Filed under: uncultured Staphylococcus sp.
Lineage: Bacteria; Bacillati; Bacillota; Bacilli; Caryophanales; Staphylococcaceae
Description: partial 16S ribosomal RNA
Rfam family: Bacterial small subunit ribosomal RNA
Source: RNAcentral